GCUGGAAUCGCUAGUAAUCGCGGAUCAGAAUGCCGCGGUGAAUACGUUCCCGGGUCUUGUACACACCGCCCGUCACACCAUGGGAGUCGGAAAUGCCCGAAGUCUGUGACCCAACCUACGGAAGGGAGCAGCCGAAGGCAGGUCGGAUGACUGGGGUGAAGUCGUAACAAGGUAAC
This 176-nucleotide ribosomal RNA is filed under the name uncultured bacterium. RNAcentral describes it as "partial 16S ribosomal RNA". It matches the Rfam family "Bacterial small subunit ribosomal RNA", at positions 1325 to 1500 of the family's 1533-position model. The record is from RNAcentral.